UGGGUACGGUGAAUGCGUAGAUUAUGGAGGAACACCGGUGGCGAAAGCGGCUCUCUGGUCUGUAACUGACGCUGAGGCUCGAAAGCGUGGGGAGCGAACAGGAUUAGAUACCCUGGUAGUCCACGCCGUAAACGAUGAGUGCUAGGUGUUGGAUCCUUUCCGA
RNAcentral lists this ribosomal RNA (163 nucleotides) under Streptococcus salivarius. RNAcentral's name for it is "partial 16S ribosomal RNA". It matches the Rfam family "Bacterial small subunit ribosomal RNA", at positions 672 to 837 of the family's 1533-position model. Lineage: Bacteria; Bacillati; Bacillota; Bacilli; Lactobacillales; Streptococcaceae. The record is from RNAcentral.